AGUGAACGCUGGCGGUAGGCCUAACACAUGCAAGUCGAACGGCAGCACAGUAAGAGCUUGCUCUUACGGGUGGCGAGUGGCGGACGGGUGAGGAAUACAUCGGAAUCUACUUUUUCGUGGGGGAUAACGUAGGGAAACUUACGCUAAUACCGCAUACGACCUACGGGUGAAAGCAGGGGAUCUUCGGACCUUGCGCGAUUGAAUGAGCCGAUGUCGGAUUAGCUAGUUGGCGGGGUAAAGGCCCACCAAGGCGACGAUCCGUAGCUGGUCUGAGAGGAUGAUCAGCCACACUGGAACUGGGACACGGUCCAGACUCCUACGGGAGGCAGCAGUGGGGAAUAUUGGACAAUGGGCGCAAGACUGAUCCAGCCAUACCGCGUGGGUGAAGAAGGCCUUCGGGUUGUAAAGCCCUUUUGUUGGGAAAGAAAAGCAGCAGGUUAAUACCCCGCUGUUCUGACGGUACCCAAAGAAUAAGCACCGGCUAACUUCGUG
This 492-nucleotide ribosomal RNA is filed under the name uncultured bacterium. RNAcentral describes it as "partial 16S ribosomal RNA". It matches the Rfam family "Bacterial small subunit ribosomal RNA", at positions 29 to 507 of the family's 1533-position model. The record is from RNAcentral.